CGGUACAGAUCCAGCUUGCUGGAUGCUGACGAGCGGCGGACGGGUGAGUAAUGCAUAGGAAUCUGCCCGAUAGUGGGGGAUAACCUGGGGAAACCCAGGCUAAUACCGCAUACGUCCUACGGGAGAAAGGGGGCUCCGGCUCCCGCUAUGGGAUGAGCCUAUGUCGGAUUAGCUAGUUGGUGAGGUAACGGCUCACCAAGGCCACGAUCCGUAGCUGGUCUGAGAGGAUGAUCAGCCACAUCGGGACUGAGACACGGCCCGAACUCCUACGGGAGGCAGCAGUGGGGAAUAUUGGACAAUGGGGGAAACCCUGAUCCAGCCAUGCCGCGUGUGUGAAGAAGGCCCUCGGGUUGUAAAGCACUUUCAGCGAGGAAGAACGCCUAGCGGUUAAUACCCGCUAGGAAAGACAUCACUCGCAGAAGAAGCACCGGCUAACUCCGUGCCAGCAGCCGCGGUAAUACGGAGGGUGCAAGCGUUAAUCGGAAUUACUGGGCGUAAAGCGCGCGUAGGUGGCUUGAUAAGCCGGUUGUGAAAGCCCCGGGCUCAACCUGGGAACGGCAUCCGGAACUGUCAAGCUAGAGUGCAGGAGAGGAAGGUAGAAUUCCCGGUGUAGCGGUGAAAUGCGUAGAGAUCGGGAGGAAUACCAGUGGCGAAAGGCGGCCUUCUGGGACUGACACUGACACUGAGGUGCGAAAGCGUGGGUAGCAAACA
RNAcentral lists this ribosomal RNA (711 nucleotides) under Vreelandella aquamarina. RNAcentral describes it as "bacterial SSU rRNA". It matches the Rfam family "Bacterial small subunit ribosomal RNA", at positions 67 to 774 of the family's 1533-position model. The record is from RNAcentral. Lineage: Bacteria; Pseudomonadati; Pseudomonadota; Gammaproteobacteria; Oceanospirillales; Halomonadaceae.